GUUUCUAUAGUUGAAGUACAACGAUGAUUUUUCAUGUCAUUGGUCUUGGUUAAUCCAUGUAGAAACU
This 67-nucleotide transfer RNA is filed under the name Zenkerella insignis (Cameroon scaly-tail). Its description in RNAcentral is "tRNA-Glu". It matches the Rfam family "tRNA". From Rfam's summary of the family: Transfer RNA (tRNA) molecules are approximately 80 nucleotides in length. Their secondary structure includes four short double-helical elements and three loops (D, anti-codon, and T loops). The record is from RNAcentral. Lineage: Eukaryota; Metazoa; Chordata; Mammalia; Rodentia; Anomaluridae.